Molecule: transfer RNA, 86 nt
Filed under: Neolecta irregularis DAH-3
Lineage: Eukaryota; Fungi; Ascomycota; Neolectomycetes; Neolectales; Neolectaceae
Rfam family: tRNA
About the family: Transfer RNA (tRNA) molecules are approximately 80 nucleotides in length.
Source: Rfam by way of RNAcentral
GGGGACAUAGCUCAGGGGUAGAGCGCACGCUUUGCAUCCUUCAAUAUGCCUGCGUGAAGUCUGGGGUUCGAGACCCCAUGUCUCCA